GUUUUUCCCUGUUGUGUCUGACUGGAGUGGAGUGGUUCUGGUCUAAAAGUCCUCUGUCUUGCUGGGCUACUCAUUUCCUGUUCCUUGGCUAAAGAGAACAGUCUUUUGUUGUGGCUUUUUUUGCCUGUGCUCAUUGGCAUUUCUAGGUUAUCAUCUUCCUUAUUCCCCAGUCUGGAAUAGCUGCGGCAAAAAGAAAGCCCAGGAACCCAGGGAACUCACCACUGUUUUGUUCCAUGGUCCCUAAGUCCCAGCCAAUCUACCUUCUUCUCUUCCCUUUAAAGCCUUUCUGCCUUUGUUUUAUAUAUAAUGUCUAAAGUUUUCCAUUGUACUUAGAGGGAAAAAAUAGGAAAACGUGUAUGUACUACACCUUCUUUGAAGCAGAAUCACUCAUUUGGUUUUUAGGGAGUUAUUCUCAAAUUUUAUUGUGAAAAAUAGUAUGUUCCAGGAAGCAAUAUUUUUGUCCCAGGUUUAAAAGAAUUAAACACUGACUUCUGUUUUCUUUUCUUUCUUUUCUUUUUUCUUUUUUGUGUUUUUAGCACAGGGUUUCACUAUAUUGCCCAGGCUGGUCUUGAACCCCUGGGCCCAGGCAAUUCUCCCACCUUAACCUCCCAAAGUGCUAGAAUUACAAGAAUGAGACCCCAUGCCCUGCGGAGGCUUCUGUUUUAAAAGCAAAUAGUUAAUUCCCAGUUUACUAAUCUUUCUUUUUCUCUAAUAAAGCUUUCAUAUUGAGUUUUCUUUAAGUAUUAUAUACUUGUACCCAAAAAGAAAGUCCUCUCAACAACAAUAUAUUAUAGGAGGUCACUUAACAACUGCAUAAUCAUUCCCCGAGAAGGUUCUUUAAAAUUAGUUUGACCAUUGUGGAAAACAGUGUAGUGAUUCCUCAAAGACCUAAAGACAGAAAUACCAUUUGACCCAGCAAUCCCAUUAGAAUAUCCAAAAUAAUAUAAAUUGUUCUACCAUAAAGACACAUGCAUGUGUUUGUUCACUGCAGCACUAUUUACAAUAGAAAAGACAUGGAAUCAACCUAAAUGCCCAUCAGUGAUAGACUGGAUAAAGAAAAUAUGGUGCAUAUAUACCUUGCAAUACUAUGCAUCCAUAAAAAAGAAACAAGAUCAUGUUCUUUGCAGGAACAUGGAUGGAGCUGGAGGCCUUUUUCCUUAGCAAAAUAACACAGGAACAGAAAACCAAAUGCUGCAUGGUCUCACUUAUAAGUAGAAGCUAAACGAUUAGAACACAUGGACACGUAGAGGGGGACAACAGACACUGGGGCCUAUCAGAGGAUGGAGGGUGGGAGGAGGGAGAGGAUUAGGAAAAAUAACUAAUGAUUACUAGGUUUAAUACCUGGGUGAUGAAAUAAUCUGUACAACAAACCCCCGUGACAUGAGUUUACCUAUAUAACAAACCUGCACAUGUGCUCCUGAACUUAAAAUAAAAGUUAUUAUAAUAAUAUUAAUAAUAAUAAAACAACUAUUGGUAAAAUUAAAAAAAAAUUUUUAUGUGAUAACUGUUGUUCAGACAUGGGAUCUUCCCCAGAUGAAGUAGCAUGUUCCAACAACAGCAGAUUCUAGAUGAGAUUCUAGGUGGCCAGGAAAUACAAGAUGAUAUUUCUAUUAAGACACAAAAUUGUUCUAUAGUGGAACAUCAGCCCCUCUGAUUUCCCCAAGUGGACUGUCCACUGGCUGCUAUAUUACCUACAGUGUCAGUAAGCUCUUUUCCCAUUUCUUUCAACAACAGAGCUUAUCAGUCCAACCUUGUCUUAAUUACUUGCUACCAAGUUUUCACACCUAGAGGCACAACUAUGUACUAACGAAACUUUGGGGUCAGAUGAAUUCAAAUUUGAAUUGUAUGACUGGUCUCACUCCCACUCUUGUGGCUAGAGAUGGGCUAGAUCCUGUGACUGAGCAAAAGGAGAGAGAGAGGGAAGUGGUUUCUCUCAAAGAGUGCUGAGCAGAUAAACACAAGCCCAUUCUGUACUAGAUCAGGAGAGAGAAUGUUGGUUCAAAUCUAAGAUGCAGAGCAGGUUGGUUAAGGACUAAGUUAGCUGAUCAUUUCCUAAGACAAGACUAGGACUAGCAGCAAAGGUGGUAUGGAUACUAUCAAGAUGAGAGGAGAAGUGGACAAACUGAAAACUAGUUCAAGGUCUAACUUUACAAACAUGACCUACUCACUGUGGCAUCCCUCUUAUGCUUAGCCCGAUGUGCUUUGGUAGAGGAAGCACCACCCAUAUGAGUCUGCAUUUGCCAAUGGUGCCUUAGAAGAAAGGGAAAGAACUGGAGCAGGUCAGCAAGUCCCAUGCUAAUGGGAUUCAUGUCAAGCUGGGUCAAGUUGGGGUGUAGAUCUCUCAUUGAGAGCUAAAGCAUGGCGCUAAAAUAAGGGAAAGCAGAGCCAUUGAAAACAAUCAAAUCUGAAGAAACCAGAGGAUGGAGAUGGAGGCUGUAGAACAAGGUGGGAAUGGAAGCUGGUGGAGAACAAUAAGGUCCUGCUGAGGAUCCCUGGUGCCCAGCAGGGAACACCGUGAGGAGGAGGAUUAAGAAAGGCACCCUUUCCACUGAUUUGCAUCGCCAUUUGUACAUGGAGUUUUGGCUACAGCAAAAUCCGUUGCUAUCUCACCAGCUACAAGAAGCAAAGAAAGAAUUGCAAUUCAUUUUUGUGCUCUAGGACCUGGUUGAAGCUUCUCUGCUCUUCCAUGGGUGCUUUCUGUGGCUGGGAUUCCCUCAGGUGAGUCCCGGGAGCCUGAGUGGUGACACAAAAGCUGAGGAAGAUAGAAAACCUGGGAGGUAUUUCAAGAGCUUCUUCCCCCACACUCUUCUUCAUCUCCUCCUGCAAUCUAGUUUCAGGACUAAAGAUCCACGGUGGAAAAAGAUUCAGAUUGCUGCCUUCCAGGGCCCCAGACAGCCAAUUUUUGUCUUCGCACAAGCCAUAAAAUCCUGUAUGGUUUUUAUUAACCUCCCAGCAGGGGCCCUGCUCAUUUGAUGAUUCAUUAUAAGGGGAAUGGAAAUCGUUAGAAAAGAUUUUCAGCUAAUGGGUAAAAUGAGUGGGGCAGCUCCUAGCCAGGCUGCUGCUGCCUCAGAGUUCACUUUCUUUCAGUGGUCAGUCUCUGGCUCAGUGUGGAAAGGACAACCUGCUUGCCUAGAGACCAAGCUCUCUUCUGGGGAGCAGAAUACCCUGGGCUGGACUAGCAUAAGCAGGCUGAGGGUGCUUGGAGAGCCAGUAGAGGCAUGAAGAAGCUUGUCUUCUAGGUUGCUAGUUCAAAUCUCAGCCUAGCUGAGGACAGGGAGAGGAGAUGUUCACUGAGGAUGUAUGCUUGUUUCCCUCACAGAAUGGUUGGUCUCCAGUGAGGUUCAAUUUCUAGGACAUGGUGUUGCCUCAUUUAUCCUCACACCUUAUGGAAUCAGCUAUCCGGGACAAGGCAAAAUGGGGCCAAUUCCUUCACCAUGAGGAUAUUCUCUUCCUGCAGCGGAAGCAGGAUUUAGGGCAGGGCUGAUCUCAGAGGACCAAGGCCCGGAUGACUUCUCUUUUCUGUCUAUAUCCUCUCCCAAGGUGAUCUCAUCCAAUCCCAUGGCUUUAAACACCAACACCCAAAUUUAUAUCUUCAGUCCUGACUUCUGCUUUUCAACUUCAGCUUCAUUAUCUACAAUUGCUUCCUUAUCAUCUCCAUUUGGAUAUCUAAACAUGUGCAAACAGCCUUCUGGAACCUUCUACUCACACCUAUUCUACCCACAUCUCAAGAACGUCCUUCUUCUAGUUGCUCAGGCCAAAAACCUUGACUCCUCCGUUUGUCUCACAACCCACCUCCAAAGUGAGUCAUUUGUCACUACCAUGAAACACAUCCAGCUCUCUGCCAUCUCCACUGCUAUCCCCUGGUCCAAGGCACUGCCAUGUCGCCUUUGUCACUGUCAUGGCUUCCUAGCUGGCCUUCUUGCUUCUGCCCCACCUGUCUUCUGUCUAUUGACACCCAGCAGCCUGGGUGACUCUUAACAUUUAGGUCAGGUCAUGUCACUCCUUCCAUUCAGAACCCUCCAGCACCUCUCAUCUAACACAAAGGAAAAGCCAAAGUCCUUACAAUGGCCACAGAGGCUCUGAUGAUCUGCCCUGGCCCUUCCCUGUCUGACUUCAUCUCCCAUGGCUCUCAGCUUUGCUUAUUCCCCUUCUGCCACUUUGACCUCCUAGCUGUUUUCACCUCAGUUUCUCUUCAAGGGAGUUCCCUCCCGGAUAUUCAUGUGGUCACUCGGUCUUUUCCUUCAGGUCCCUUGCCUUUGGGUGAGACCUUCCCUGACCCUCUUCCAUACAACAGCAAAAUCAUACCUCUGGAACUGGUCAUCCCAUCACUGCAGCAUAAAGAAUUCUCUGUGGCAUUUCCUCAUCGUUCAUGUAUGCUUUUAUUCUUUUUUGUGAUGGUCAGUCAAGUGUGGCCAUAAGAGGAGACACAAGAGAGGUUCAGGGAAACAAAGUUUAUUUACUCACAGGUCCUAGAGACAGGAGACACACCUCUUCAUGGAGGACCACAUGGGGAAGCCCUGGGGCAGUCAGGAGGCAGAGGAUGGAAGAAGGAGAAAUGCACUAGGCCAGAGCCUUUUGGGGGCUUUCCAUGGGAAAGGCAAGCAAGGGGGGUAAACUGUUCAGAAUUGGCUAGUGUGACUCUUUCCAGCAGGCUUUAAACUCUAGGGGUGGUGCCUAGUUGCCUGAUACCUGGCUCUGGGAUGAUUAAGGCAGAUGGAUAUUGCCUCUUGGGGGUACAUGGGCAAAAUCAAUGAGCUAUAGCUCUGGAUUCAUUAGUUUUCAUAUCAAAAGCUUAUGUCAGAUGAGCAUUUUGCUACCCCUUAAAAAUCAGCUAGGCCUAGGAGGGACAGUCUCUCCCCAGCUAGAACAGUUUUUAAAGAUGUCAAAGCAUCAUAAUAUAUAAAAAAUUAAAAAUACUUACAAUACAGUGUAUUCUCCAUCUCUACCACAAUGUAAGUUCCAUGAGAACAGGGACUUUUUCUGUUUUGUUCACUGUUCUAUCUGCAGUGCCUAGAAUAGUGCCUGACAUACAAUAGUUGCUUAAUAAAUAUUUGUCAAGUGAAUGAAUGAAUGAAUGAAUGGAUUUCUAAUCUCCCCCCACCCUCUGAUCCCAGGAGCACUACUGUUUCUGGAGCCACCAUUUCAGCUUCCUUAAAAAUGAAGGGAGGGCGAGGUUUGAUAGUUUUAUUUGAAGGUAGAGCUUUUAAUGACCUUAUAAGGACAACAUUAAACUUAAAAAACAUCUAUCAAGAUCCAUUAAUUUUUUUUUCCAUUUUGCCUGACUCAUUUGAUGAGAACAACAAGUUCACAUGCAGUGAGGAAUUCAGAUGUAGGAAGGGUGUCAGAAGCAGGGCGGGAGAAACAUUUUAUUGUUUAGUGAAAUACGGGUCACCCUCUCCUGUUUCAUUUUUUCAGAUAAAUCUUUUUUUCUUUUCUUUUUUAAAGUAGAGAAUACAUACAGAAAAGUCCACAAACCUUAAGUGAAUUACUGAUGAAUUGUUGCAAAGUAAACACACCCAUAGAAACACCACUUAAGUCAACAAACAGAACAUUGUCAACACCCAGAGCACUCCCUGUGCCUGUUAUGGAAUCAGAUGACAUGUAUUCUUCUGUAACUAGCUUCUUUCAUUCUACAUGAUAUUUAUGAGAUUCAUCAAUGUCAUGCGUAGCAGUGGUUAAUUUAUUUUCAUUGUGUACAGUAUACCAUUUUAUGAAUAUACCACAGUUUACCUGUUCUAUUCUUGAUGAACUUUGGGUUGUUUCUUUCUGGGGCUCUUAUGAAUAAUGCUGCAAUGAAUAUUUUUGUGCAUGUCUUUGAUGAACACAAGCUCUCAUUUCUGACAGAUAUAUACCAGGAAUGGAUUUGAAAGGUUUUGUACAGACUACAUUUAGGUUUAGUAGAUAUGCCAAACUUUUCCCUAAAUGAUUGUUUUAUUCUAAGUUCUCACCAAUGAGAGUUCCAGUUGUUCCACAUUCUUACCACCAUGUAGUAUCAUCUGAAAUUUUAAUUAUUUUCAUUCUUGUGGGUGUAUAGUGAUACCUCAAUAUGAUUUUCAUUUGUAUUUCCCUGAUGACUAGUGAGAUUGAGCACCUUUACAGGUGUUCAUUGGCCAUUCUAUUUCUAUGAGGUGCCUGCUCAAGUCUUUUGCCUGAUUUAUUUUCAAUUAGGCUGCCUGUCUCCUUUUUUUUUUGUAGAAUUAUUUAAUUUCUUAAUUUUUUAAUUAGAGACGGGGUCUCACUAUGUUGACUAGACUGGUAUCAAACUACUGAGCCCAAGUAAUCAUCUCACCUUAGCCUCUCAAAGUACUGGGAUUACAGGUGUGAGCCACCUCACCUGGCCUAAGAGUUCUUUAUAUAUUCUGAAUGUGAAUCCUCUAUCAGUUAUAUGUAUAGCGAAUCUCUUUUCUCACUCCAUGACAUCUUUUAAAACAUCUUCUUAAUGGUAUCUUUUGAAGAACCAACAUUUUUAAUUUUAUGGAAUUUAAUUUAUAAAUAUUCUUCUUUAUAAUUAGUACUUUUUUUGUGUCCUUUUUAACAGUAUUUGCCUACCCUUAGGCCAAGAAGCUAUUCUCCUAUAUUAGCUUCUAGAAGCUUUCAUAUUUAAAACUGCAGACCAAAUAAAAUUGAUUUUCUUUUUUGGUAUGGUGUGAGGCAGGGGUUGAGUUUCAUUCUUAUUUCCACUCAGAUAUCCAUUUGACUUAGCACCAUCUGUUGAUUAAGACCUACUACUCUGAGGUGCCACCUUUUUCAUAAAUUAAGUGCUUGUAUAUGGCAUGAGUCUGUUUCUGGGCUCUCUAUUCUGUUCCAUUGUUGCAUUGUUCUUUGUUUGUUGUGCUGAUGCCACAUGGUCUUCAUUACUGUAGCUUUACAAUAGAUCUUGAUGUGUGGUCAAGUACAUCCUCCAACUUUGUUCUUCUUUGAUGUGAGCUUAGCUAUCCUUGGCUCUUUUUUUCACUACCUUACUUUUACGUAGGAUAGAAAGCAUUUUUUUUUUUCUUUUUGAGACAGAGUUUCACUCUUGUUGCCCAGGCUGGAGGGCAAUGGCACGAUCUCAGCUCACCGCAACAAAUGCCUCCCCAGUUCAAGCAAUUCUCCUGCCUCAGCUUCCCGAGUAGCUGGAAUUACAGACGCCUGCCACAAUGCCCAGCUAAUUUUUGUAUUGGUAAGAGAGAUAGAGUUUCACCAUGUUGGUCAGGCUGGUCUUGACCACUCCUGACUCCUGACCUCAGGCGAUCCACCUGCCUCGACCACCCAAAGUGCGAAGAUUACAGGCGUGUGCCACUACGCCUGGCAGAAAGCAUCUUUAAAGGUAAAGUGUCUUCUCAUUUUGAGGUGCCCUCACAUCCACCUAGACUACCAUCUGUGGACGUCAUAAAGUCAUAUCCCCACACUUCGUUCUACAAGUGGCUCCUAGCAUAGGCCUCACUGCCAUUCCAGGCAGUGCCUGGUACCUGGUUCUUCUCAUCCUUCCUGCUUUACCUCCACUGGCACUUUCCUGUGUGCAGCAGAUUUAUGCACCACAAUACUCUGCAAGUUUCAGCUACUGAUACUACCUCUAGUAUUUCUAGUAAUAAAUAAAAUAUAUUGUGUUCUGACUGUGUCAGGCAUUGUGUUAAGUGCUGUGCCUGAAUUACCUUAUUUAAUCCUGACUACCACCCUAGGAAGUAAAUAUCCUUUGCCUGCCCCUUAAGGAUUUACACUAUCCUCUCAAGGAUCCUGAUUUUCCCACCCAUUUUUUUCCUUCUCUGUUAGUUUCAAUGUUUCCAUAGAAUAUAACUUUUCUGAGCUAGAAAGGACUUGAGAGACAUUUGAUUUGACAAAUGAGGAAAUGAAGGCCCAGAGAGAGGAUGCAUUUACCUCAGGCCUCCUCAGCUCAUGAUUGGCAGAAAAAGGAUUAGAAUUCAAGUCUCUUGACUACAGGACAAUGUGCUUCUCUCACACACACUUCCCAGGUUCAGCACCCGGCAGACAGACUAGUCUCCUCCUACCCAAUUUACUUCCUUCCUGUUUCCACUUAAAUUUCUUCAGUCUUGUCUAUGAUGAUAGCUACUUCUACUUCCUCAUCUCCUGUUGUCUCUUUGACCUCUCCAAUCUUACUUCCUCACUGCAACUGCUCUCACUGAGACCACCCAUGACUUCCAUGUCACACAGCCCUGUGGCCUCCCCUCUCUCUCAUCUUCCUUAACCUCUCAGCUAGCCUCAACCCACGUGAUUGUUCCCCUCUUUCUUUCUUUUUUUUUAUUAUACUUUAAGUUCUAGGGUACAUGUGCCUCACAAACAUGGUUGAAAGUGAUUGAGGAGCAAAGUAACAUCUUACAUAGUGGCAGGCAAGAGAGCUUGUGCAGGGGAACUCUCAUUUAUAAAGCCAUCAGAUCUCAUGAGACUUAUUCACUACCAUGAGAACAGUAUAGGGAAACCACCACCACGAUUCAAUUAUCUCCACCUGGUCUCAACCUUGACAUGUGGGGAUUAUUACAAUUCAAGGUGAUAUUUGGGUGGGAACACAGCCAAACCAUACUGAUAGCUCCAAUCCUGACUUUGCUCUUGAGUUCUAGGCUUUGAACUUCUUACUUGAUAUCUUUGUUUGGAUGUUGUCGUAAUUGGGUUUUCUAUAAAACAAAGCCUGAAGCAAGAAUUAAGGUGCCAACAGUUUAAUUGAGAGGUGCAAGUUCAAGGUAUUGCAUGUAGGAGUAAAAGGGAGGGGAGGUCAGGGAAGGUACAUAAUACAUGUAUUGUGAUAUGACGAAUAAUAUGAUGUGGUAAGCCACUUACCAUUUUGGCUACCACUUCACAGGGAGCUGCAAAGAGACCCAGCAGGUCACUCGGAAGUUGUGUUCACGCAGCAUGUGGGACUUCUUCAGAAGAGUUACUGGAAGAUAUUGAGAAGGGAAUGAAGAAUGUAGCUGGCUGGCUCCCUUUUGGAUCCCAUUGUCCUUUGGGAUUUACCCUUGAAGAGCUAACUCUAUACUUCCAGUAUGCAUAAUCAUUAUCAUAAUAUUUAUUCCUUUACUAUGCAUGAAGCCACCUCGUUGUGUGAUGUUUUCUUCAAGUCUGAAAGUGAAAAAGUGACCCAGAGCUGAUAGAGGCCUGGCCAGGAGAGAGAGAAAGAAUGAGGCUAUAUAAUGUUUGUGGCUCAAUGCAGAUGUCUAUUAGACAUUUCAAACUGAACGUGACUAAACAGAACUCAACUUCCUUCUCCCAGCUGAACUGAUUCCCUCCUCCCUGAUAGUGUUUCUCAUCUCAGAAAAUGGCACCCUUUUCUCCAUUGCUGAACCUGGGUCAAUGGAACUAUCAACUCGGGAGGAAGCCCCUGAAAUAGCCUGUGAGCCGGUCCCCUCAUUACCUUCUUGUUUCCUUUCUACGUAUUCGUCACAUAAAAAGAGUGAACUUUUAUUUUUAUUUUUUUAAGACAGGGUCUCUCUCUGUCACCCAGGCUGGAGUACACUGGUGCAUUCACAGUUCACUAUAGUCUCAACCUUCCAGGCUCAAGUGAUCCUCCCACCUCAGCCUCCUAAGAAGCUGGGACUAUAGGCAUGUGCCACCAUGACUGGCUAAUUUCUGGAUUUUUAGUAGAGACAGGGUUUUGCCAUGUUGCCCAGGCUGGUCUCAAACUCCUGGGCUCAAGUGAUCCACCCACCUUGGCCUCCCAAAGUGCUGGGAUUACAGGCAUGAGCUAUCACUUGGGGCCAAGAGUGACCUUUUAAAAGGAAUGCAGGAAUGUUUUCUUUAGCUUUGGUGCUCUGUCCCAUUAUGUAGCCCUGAAAUCAAAUCACUAAGAAAGGCUUUCCCUGACUCCACUAUUGAAAAAGCCUUCCCUCCCAUGACACUCUGCAUUACCCUGUUUUAUUUCAUUCUUAGUACUUACCACUCUCUGAAAUUCCCUUUUUAUGUAUGUGUAAUGUAUUGUCUGUCUCUCCCACUAUAAUGUAAGCUCCAUUUAGGUACAGAGGGUCUAUUAUCUGUCUCCCUGUAUCCACAGCACCUAGUAUAGUCCUGGGUACAUAGGAGGGCCUCUAUAAGUGUUUGCUGAAUGAAUAAGUGAUAGGAUGAACUGUAGGUGAACUGAGAGACUAACUGUGUGGCAAGGGAUAUAUAUGUUUGCCUGAAUUUUCAUCUGGUUAGGUCGUUCUACAACUAAAAAGUCUUUGAGAGCAGGGAAUAUGGGCAAAUUGAAGGGUAUUAUUUAGGUCCUGCUAGAGUUCAAAGUGAGCUUAGGGAUCAGUUAACAGCCUUUCUCCUGCCCCCAAUUUUUAAAAUUAGACUUUUAAAAUUGAGAUAAUUAUAGAUUCACAUCUAAUUUAAGAAAUCAUACAGGAAUUCCUUGUACUCUUCUCCAGUUUCCCCUAGUGGUGUAUUUGGUAAAAAAAAAAAAAUGAAGUAAUAUCACAACCAAGAUGUUGACAUUGAUACAAUAAAAUACAGUGCAUUCCUUCACUGUAAGGAUUCUUCAUGUUUUCUUUUUAUAGCCACACCCACCUCCCUCCUGACACUACCUCCUUAACCCCUGGCAAGUCCUAACCUGUUCUUCAGUUCUACUAUUUUCUUAUUUCAAAAACCUUAUGUAACUGUUUGAGAUUGGCCUUUUUCACUUAGCACAGUUCUCUGGAGAUUCACGCAGGUGUUUGCAUGCAUCAAUAAUUCAUUCCUUCUUAUUGAUGAGUAGUAUUCCACAGCAUGAAUGUGUCACAGCUUGUUUAAGCAUUUGCCCAUUGAAGGACAUAUGAGUCAUUUCCAGGUCUUGGCUAUUUUGAAUAAAGCUGCUAUACAUAUUCAA
Symphalangus syndactylus (siamang) is the source of this 10774-nucleotide long non-coding RNA. RefSeq lists it as uncharacterized. Lineage: Eukaryota; Metazoa; Chordata; Mammalia; Primates; Hylobatidae. The record is from RefSeq and is a predicted model, not a curated record.